This 484-nucleotide ribosomal RNA is filed under the name uncultured bacterium. RNAcentral's name for it is "partial 16S ribosomal RNA". It matches the Rfam family "Bacterial small subunit ribosomal RNA", at positions 30 to 507 of the family's 1533-position model. The record is from RNAcentral.
AUUGAACGCUGGCGGCAUGCCUUACACAUGCAAGUCGAACGGCAGCGCGGGAGCAAUCCUGGCGGCGAGUGGCGAACGGGUGAGUAAUACAUCGGAACGUGCCCAAUCGUGGGGGAUAACGCAGCGAAAGCUGUGCUAAUACCGCAUACGAUCUACGGAUGAAAGCAGGGGAUCGCAAGACCUUGCGCGAAUGGAGCGGCCGAUGGCAGAUUAGGUAGUUGGUGAGGUAAAGGCUCACCAAGCCUUCGAUCUGUAGCUGGUCUGAGAGGACGACCAGCCACACUGAGACUGAGACACGGCCCAGACUCCUACGGGAGGCAGCAGUGGGGAAUUUUGGACAAUGGGCGAAAGCCUGAUCCAGCCAUGCCGCGUGCAGGAUGAAGGCCUUCGGGUUGUAAACUGCUUUUGUACGGAACGAAACGGUCUUUUCUAAUAAAGAAGGCUAAUGACGGUACCGUAAGAAUAAGCACCGGCUAACUACGUG